CUGCUGCCUCGCCUGUGCCCUCGCCCUGGAGUGGUGAAGGUCCAGACUGGGAAACGGAAGUCGUUACUAUGUUAGAAAGGGCAAAAAGCAAAACGAGGAAGGGGAAGCACGAGGAGGGAGGAGGUGUGGCAGCUCCAGAGCCCAGGAGUGCAGCCCCCCAGAGACUAGGGCUACCCCUCUACCGUUUCGGGAUGUGCAGGAGGGGGCCCCUCUACCAUCUGGGGCUGGGCAGGAAGGGCCCCCUUCCCACCGUCUCGGACUGUGCAGGAGGGGGCCCCUCUAUCUUCUGGGGCUGUGCAGGAGGGGGCCCCUCUAUCUUCUGGGCCUGUGCAGGAGGGGCCCCUCCACUGUCUCAGGCUGUGCAGGAGAGGGCCCCUCUGCCGUCUGGGGCUGUGCAAGCAGUGAGCAAGCUGCCGCCUCCUUGGGAGCUGGGAUCCCAGACGGGAUUCAGCCAUUUUCAGAGACGUUCCCAGAAACGAGAAUGCGAGAUCAAUUCCUCGCCUGGCAUCUCCCACCAGCGCCAUCGCUGCAGCAGCCUCACUGGAAGCCAACAGGCAGAGGAGAGUGGGAAAGGAGCUUGCAGCCUCCCAGCACCAGUGAUGCAGAGCAGAAGGUGGCUGGGAGGCUGAGAAGCCAUAAGAAAAUAGCAGGGCCAGCCCAUGUGGCCGCUCAGAUACGUGCUAUGUGUGUCUUUGCAUAUGUAGGGGCUGAAAAACUCCACCUCCAGCCAUUUGAGGUCCUGGCUGGGCCCAAGAGUGAAAUCAAGAUAAGACAGAUCAUCAUGCCAGUGUAUUUGAUUCAAGUUGGAUGUAGCUCGGGAGCCCUCCUAAGGAAAUGAAGACCCGGUGAAGCGGACUCAGUCACUCGUGUGCUGAGUUGGACAGAGAACAGUGAGGUUUGAGGAAGCAGCUAGAUGAUGUGGGGGGCUGAAAAGGUGAGAGGCAUUUUAUCAAGGACUGUACAGCAUUUGCUGGGUCUCGUCUUCUCAUCCUUGAGGAUCAGAGCUUUCUAGUGUAGGGAGAGCAUCUUUCACCUGGGAAUUUCAUCUUCUGCUUUUAAGAAACACAAGAGAGAUCAGAAUGAUCUUUUUGCACCUGUUAUUUUUUUAACUGCCUUUAAUUCCUAAUACUGACUGUGCCAGAGCAGCCUAUUUUGGGGUGGCACCUUAACUCUGCAUACUGUACAUAUCUGGCACACGUCAUUUAAAGUAAAUAGACAGGCUUGCUUACUUUUUACUCAGGUGCAACAUAAUUCAGAAAAGUGCAGACAUGCUCAGUAGACAGCUCCUUCUACACGGUUGUCGACUUCCCUUCAUCAAUGACGUAUUGGUCGGCUCUUGCUAGGCUGUGUUGCCAAAACAACUCACAAGCCUGGGUUGAUCACAGCAACCAAGUUUCCCCUCCCACUCAGGUUUCUUGUCGGCCACGGGGUGGCUCAGCUUCUGAUGCCUCCUUCAUUCUGGGGUCCAGGCUGAGCAAGCUGUGGCUCUCUGGAACAUGCCGUUCUCCUGACCAAGGGAGGACGUGGAAGAGAGAUGGAGAAACCAUGCCACACUCUCCCAGCGGCCAUACACAGCUGGGAUGUGUCGCUUGCACUCCCACGCCACUGGCCAGAACAAGUCAUGUGGCCAAGGAGGGGCAGGGAAGAGCACUUCCUCCUCCAGAUGGUGCCAGCUCUGGGCCUAGGUUUUAGCUUUUCUUACAAGGGAAGAGCUGGCCCGUUACUGCGUCAGGGAUGCUGACAGAAGACAUGAGACUCCAGGUCAGAGACAAAGGACUUUGUCAUUCAUGGUCUAAGCCCUACACCCAGUGUGACUAUGUUUGGAGAUGGGGCCCUCAAAGAGCUGAUUAAGGUGAAGAGACAUAAUGAUGGCCAGCGCUACACAGGAGGAAUGGUGUCCUUAUAGGAAGAGGAGGCGCCAGUGUCCUGGGGGCAGAGGGACCACCCUGUGAGGACAAAGGGAGCAGGGCCUCCUCUGUCGGCCAGACUGGAGUGCAGUGGUGUGAUCAUGGCUCUCUGCAGCCGUGACCGCCGGGGCUCACGGGCUCAACUGAUCCUCCCUCCUCAGCCUCCCAAGUAAGUGGGACUCCAGGUGUGCGCCACCAGGCCUGGCUAAUUUUUGUCUGUUUUGGAGAGAUGAGGUUUUGCCUGUGCACAGGCUGGUCUGGAACUCCUGGGUGGAUGCGAUCCUCUUGCCUCAGUCUCCCAAAGUGCUGGGAUUACAGGUGUGAGCCACCACACCUGGCCUAAUUCUACUGUUAUCGGCUGAACUGGAUGCCUCCAGAAUUCACGCUAAGAAUGGGAAGGGAUGAAGAGAUUGGACUGUAAAGAGGUGACUGGCUGAAUGAGGCCAUAUGGGUGGGCCCUGAUCCAGAAUGACUGGAGUCCUCCUCAGAGGAGGAAGUUUGGACAGAGACACGUCAGGGAACUGCACGCACAGAGAAGAGACUGCGUGAGGACACGCGGAAAGACACCAUCUGCAGACCACAGCCGAGCUCCCAGGGAGCGAAACCUGCUGCCACCCUCAUGCCAGCUUCCAGCCUCCAGGCCUGAGACAGCAUUUCCAUCGGGGAAGCCAGCCAGACCACGGCGUCCUGUGACGGCCACCCAGGGGGACUGGUGUGCCUACAAGCACGUUAUUCAUUUCAGGCCUGGCUCUUUGUUUUGUCCUUCGUUUCUCACACCAGGCUUACAUUUUCCUUUAGAGGACGUUGUGAUUGUCAUUUCAGGGUCCACGUCUGACAGUUCCACCAUGGCUGCCCUUCUGGGCCUGUUGCUGCUGACUCACGUUCCCACGGCCACCUUUCCCUGCAUCUGGGCAUAGCAGCAAUUUCUCACUGGAUGCGGGCAUUGUGCUGUGAUGGCUUUGAUCACCUGGCAUUUUUGUUGGGUUGGUUUUGGCCUUCCUUUAAAGGACGCUGCGCUGUGUUCUGGUGUGGAGUUCAGCUCCUUGCUGUUCACUUUGGUCUUCAUGUGGCUGGUUCUGAAGCCUCUUAGAGCAGGUCCAGCCCAGCCUUUCCUGCAGGAAGAGUCCAGCCCCACUCCCAGGACGGGCCCUGCUGGGUGGCUGCUGACAGCCCAGGAUCCUCCAGGACUCUCCCCCUGGCGGUCGGAACUCCUAUCUCCCACCUGUGAGUUCCAGGGGCUGGGGGUCCACAGUCCCCUAGGGUCCCACCCACGCUGAAGAGUCCACCUUCCACAUGCAUGGCGCCCGACUCCGGAGGCCUCAGAGACCCUCAGGCAGCCUUCUGGAGCUUUCUGUCUGUGCAGUUCCCUCCCUUCCGGAGCUCUGCCUGCCAGGUCCCUCUGCAGAUGCCUCCCUGAGCCCUGACCUCCUCCUCAGCCCCCAGGACUGCCCACCCUGCCUGGACGCCCACACCUGCUCGACCAUCCUGAAUGGGCCUCCACCCCAGGGCUGCGGUGACCCUGGUGCUGUAGCCUGCCUGCCCCUCCUGCUGGGGAUCUGGCUCCAUGGUGCCCUGGUGCUGAAAACAGUUCAUCCUGAGUUUCAGUCUUGAGCUUUCGUGGCAGGAGGGAAACUACUGGCUGUGUUACUCCUGUGGCUUCCUGUUCUGGCCAUCCUGCCAACUCUCCUGCAGGUGAGGGUGGGCGCGAUCCCCAAGGUCCUUUCCACCAGAUGCCACUGAGUCCCCCAGGGGCCUGGGCUGGACCUGAGAGGGUGUCACCUGGCUGAAGUCAGGACCAGGAAGGGCAGGGGGCAGGAAAGGAGAGGGGGCAGGGCGGGGUGGAGCAGGCAUGCUCGGAGGGGUGGUGUGGCCUCCAUCCUCAUGCAUGGCUGCAGGGUCAUUCCCCUCACCGCUUCUACCUCCAGAUGUGGGGAAAGGGGCCUCGUCCCGAGCAUUAAAUGAAUGUGUGGCUCAGAGGCCUGGUGAAGCUCCUGCCAGUGGGACCCGGGUCUGGCGGGUUCCCGGAGCAGGUGGAGAGGCUGGGCACCCGGAGCAGGUGGGGAGGGCUGUGCACAGCGGGUGUCACUGAUACUGGGAUUUCUCAGUGGACACAGUUGGGAAGUGUAGGUCAGAUGUAGAUCCGGGGUUUUUACUGGGCAAAUCUGACAUCAUUUGAGCAUCAGAAUCAACAGCAAUAGCCUCGGACGGAGCCACAGAGGUCAGGAGAGCCCACUGAGAGCUCAGCUGUUGGGAUAUGAAGGGGCGGCCAGGGCUCCUCUCUGGGUGGAGUGAACCCCCAGGCAUGAUGGGAGGAGGGCAGGGGUCCCCCAAACAGCCCAGCGGACUUCCUGGAACUCCUUGUUCAGCAAGAAACACCGGGAGGUGACAGUUUGAGGAGAAACAAGAUAUUUACAUCCUCCCACAGCAUCUCCCCAAAUACACUGUUUCAUGAC
Symphalangus syndactylus (siamang) is the source of this 4360-nucleotide long non-coding RNA. RefSeq lists it as uncharacterized. Lineage: Eukaryota; Metazoa; Chordata; Mammalia; Primates; Hylobatidae. The record is from RefSeq and is a predicted model, not a curated record.